This 407-nucleotide ribosomal RNA is filed under the name uncultured bacterium. RNAcentral describes it as "bacterial SSU rRNA". It matches the Rfam family "Bacterial small subunit ribosomal RNA", at positions 355 to 774 of the family's 1533-position model. The record is from RNAcentral.
UGGGGAAUAUUGCACAAUGGGCGCAAGCCUGAUGCAGCAACGCCGCGUGAGGGACGACGGCCUUCGGGUUGUAAACCUCUUUUGGCAGGGAAGAAGCGAAAGUGACGGUACCUGCAGAAAAAGCACCGGCUAACUACGUGCCAGCAGCCGCGGUGAUACGUAGGGUGCAAGCGGUGUCCGGAAUUAUUGGGCGUAAAGAGCUCGUAGGCGGUUUGUCGCGUCUGCUGUGAAAACCCGAGGCUCAACCUCGGGACUGCAGUGGGUACGGGCAAACUAGAGUGCGGUAGGGGAGAUUGGAAUUCCUGGUGUAGCGGUGGAAUGCGCAGAUAUCAGGAGGAACACCGAUGACGAAGGCAGAUCUCUGGGCCGUAACUGACGCUGAGGAGCGAAAGCAUGGGGAGCGAACA